Molecule: ribosomal RNA, 496 nt
Filed under: uncultured bacterium
Lineage: Bacteria
Description: partial 16S ribosomal RNA
Rfam family: Bacterial small subunit ribosomal RNA
Source: RNAcentral
GAUGAACGCUGGCGGCGUGCUUAAUACAUGCAAGUCGAGCGAAGAGACGAGGCGCUUGCUCCUCUGACGUUAGCCGCGGAGGUGUGUGUAACACGUGGAUACCCUCCCUAUCAUACUGGUAUAACUUCGGGACGCCGGCUCUAAUACCGGAUAAUCUGUUCAUCCGCAUGGUUCAGUUGGAAAAGGCGGUUUUGCUGUGACUUAUAGAUGGAUCCGCGCCGCAUUAUCUAGUGGGUAAGGUCACGGCUUACCAAGGCAACGAGGCGUCGCCGACCUGAGAGGGUGAUCGGCCACACGGGAACUGAGGCACGGUCCAGACUCCAACGGGAGGCAGCAGGAGGGAAUCGGACGCAAUGGGCGAAAGCUUGACGGAGCAACGCCGCGUGAGUGAUGAAGGUCUUCGGAUCGUAGAACUCUGUUAUUAGGGAAGAACAAAUGUGUAAGUAACUAUGCACGUCUGGACGGUACCUAAUCAGAAAGCCACGGCUAACUACGU